RNAcentral lists this ribosomal RNA (292 nucleotides) under uncultured bacterium. RNAcentral describes it as "partial 16S ribosomal RNA". It matches the Rfam family "Bacterial small subunit ribosomal RNA", at positions 505 to 796 of the family's 1533-position model. The record is from RNAcentral.
GUGUCAGCCGCCGCGGUAAUACGAAGGGGGCUAGCGUUGUUCGGAAUUACUGGGCGUAAAGCGCGCGCAGGCGGCCAUUCAAGUCAGGGGUGAAAGCCCGGAGCUCAACUCCGGAACUGCCUCUGAAACUGUCUGGCUUGAGUACGGGAGAGGUGAGUGGAAUUCCCAGUGUAGAGGUGAAAUUCGUAGAUAUUGGGAAGAACACCGGUGGCGAAGGCGGCUCACUGGCCCGUUUCUGACGCUCAGGCGCGACAGCGUGGGGAUCAAACAGGAUUAGAUACCCCUGUAGUCC